GGGGAAUAUUGCACAAUGGGGGAAACCCUGAUGCAGCGACGCCGCGUGGAGGAAGAAGGUCUUCGGAUUGUAAAGAUCUUUAAUCAGGGACGAAACAAGUGACGGUACCUGAAGAAUAAGCUCCGGCUAACUACGUGCCAGCAGCCGCGGUAAUACGUAGGGAGCAAGCGUUAUCCGGAUUUACUGGGUGUAAAGGGCGCGCAGGCGGGCCGGUAAGUUGGAAGUGAAAUCUAUGGGCUUAACCCAUAAACUGCUUUCAAAACUGCUGGUCUUGAGUGAUGGAGAGGCAGGCGGAAUUCCGUGUGUAGCGGUGAAAUGCAUAGAUAUACGGAGGAACACCAGUGGCGAAGGCGGCCUGCUGGACAUUAACUGACGCUGAGGCGCGAAAGCGUGGGGAGCAAACAGGAUUAGAUACCCUGGUAGUCCACGCCGUAAACGAUGGAUACUAGGUGUGGGAGGUAUUGACCCCUUCCGUGCCGCAGUUAACACAAUAAGUAAUCCACCUGGGGAGUACGACCGCAAGGUUGAAACUCAAAGGAAUUGACGGGGGCCCGCACAAGCAGUGGAGUAUGUGGUUUAAUUCGACGCAACGCGAAGAACCUUACCAAGUCUUGACAUCCUGCGACGAUGCUGGAAACAGUAUUUUCCUUCGGGACGCAGAGACAGGUGGUGCAUGGUUGUCGUCAGCUCGUGUCGUGAGAUGUUGGGUUAAGUCCCGCAACGAGCGCAACCCUUACUGUCAGUUACUACGCAAGAGGACUCUGGCAGGACUGCCGUUGACAAAACGGAGGAAGGUGGGGAUGACGUCAAAUCAUCAUGCCCUUUAUGACUUGGGCUACACACGUACUACAAUGGCGUUAAACAAAGAGAAGCAAGACCGCGAGGUGGAGCAAAACUCAGAAACAACGUCCCAGUUCGGACUGCAGGCUGCAACUCGCCUGCACGAAGUCGGAAUUGCUAGUAAUCGUGGAUCAGCAUGCCACGGUGAAUACGUUCCCG
This 999-nucleotide ribosomal RNA is filed under the name uncultured bacterium. RNAcentral's name for it is "bacterial SSU rRNA". It matches the Rfam family "Bacterial small subunit ribosomal RNA", at positions 356 to 1376 of the family's 1533-position model. The record is from RNAcentral.